UAAAAAACGAAGGACCUUAGAAAACUGGUAUUAAAUCAUUCGGAGUACAUGUAUUGUAACAGAUUAUGGUAGUGCAUGUGCGUAUCUUGACGGUUGGCAGUAGAAUGCCACAUUUAUUGCAUAAGCGCAUAAUUAUAUAUGUAAUAAUAUGUACAUGGAUAGGAUUACAAUAUAAUAUAUGCUAAUUAUUAUUAUGCUAUAACUAUUAUGAUAUCCUGACACUCCCCAACCGGAAGAAGCGUUUUCUCCCGAAAACUUAAAUAUACAUCUAUCCAACAUAAUUACUGAAUAAACUAAGAAAAAGAGCAGUAACGUAUGUAAAUCUUUAACUGGAAAGGCAAUCUGGCGAGAUAAUGUUUAGUUAAAGAUGAGGAGGGACAGAACUGGACGGAAACAAACGAAGACACAGACAAAAGAAAUGCGUAAUUUACUGGACAGAAGACAACUACGCAUACAAAUUUAGUGGGCGUGUGAAUUUAUACAAUGAAAAUUUGCUGUUUAUUUUGAAAAAAAUUAGCUAAACCAAAAAAUUUUGAAAGACAAAUCUACGCAAAGGGUGUGAACAAUAUGUGCGAACAAUUCUGAACAGCUUAGUGCUAAUUUCAAGCGACAAAAAGUAAAGGAAAUGAGGAGGAAUAGAAAGAAAAAGUUACAACAUGGCCGUUGACGCGAAAAACUGGAGGAGGACUUCUUGGGGAUUAAAUGGGCCCUUGACUUCCUAAGGGGGCUGACCUAAGUACCCAUCUCAGAGGUCAAAGGUCACGAGGAGGUGUGGCUUGGGUGUGGUCAAGGGACUGGAUGACGUCGGGAACAUGCAACAAAUGAUGUCAGGAGGAGAGUAGUGACGUCACGAACCAGCAGUGAUGUCAUGAAGAGGCUCGACACGUCACCACAAACCAUUCCCGGUAAAUGACGAACUACUACUGACUCAGAAUUACUUCACAAAAAAUUUGAUUCCCGCUUCGUAUCCCUACCAUACUAACAGCAUGGGAAGGAUACCAGCGCGGGAUGGAAAAGAAAAACUGAGUUGAUAUUAAAUACAAAUAAAAUAAAAUGUGUGAAUGGUUCUUUGUAAGAUAUAUAUACAUACUAGAAGCGGCAUGCAUAAUAAUUGAAUCAAAUUUAAAUCAAAUCAAAUAGAAUUAAUAUCAGUACGGAAUACAUAUGUGAAGGGGUGACAAAUAUGUAACCGACAUUUAUGCUACCCAACGAAUAUGUAAGCGACCAGUGAUAAAAUAAAUAAUUGCAUACUUGGCUGGGGGAUGAGUAGAAAAAUAAUUCUGCUGUUGUAAAGUGGAGUUACUUUGAUUUUUUUUAGUUUUUUAUCGUUUGGUGCUUUGCACUUGUCAGUUUCACCGACUUUCACUUUUUUUCGGGUGACACAAGUAGUUUAUUAGUUUAGGUUACGAAUUUCUCAACAGAUUUACUGUCUUCACCUUUAUGCUUUUAUGUGCUUGGUUUUCCCAUUUUCGAAGUAUCAAUAUGGAAUGAUUUUACUUUGAAGACUUUUAUAAGUUAAUUUUGUACACUACAGUACUGUUUGUGCUCACUGAAGACGGUUUUUAGUAAAUGCUCGAACUAGGACGGUAAUUAUUGUACCAAGCCUUUCAUAUGAGAGACUCAAUUCUUUGAUACUCGAUUCAUUGAGAUACUGGAAACUCAUGACGUACUUGGCAUCUAUUAUCCCGCCUUCAUAUAUUAAAAAUAACGUCAUCAAAUAUUUUAGUCAACUUUUAAAAUUUUGCGUUAACUUUAUACGCAAGUACUUCUAUUUCGUGUUUUUGGAGUGCACGAAUAAAUUCGCCAAAUACUCUCAAGGAAUGAAAAUUAACUUCUCCUACCAACAACAAAAUUUUUUCUGACGAUGAAUGAGUCAAAGCUUUAAUACUCCCUAACACCUGGAGUUGUUUUACCAAAUUGUACGGUGUGCGAGGGUGUUCUCCUGAAUAGUGUGCACAAACAAUGCGGCAUGCAGGGUGGCCGUCUCGACUCAAAACUACCAUAAUUUGUCGCAUCUUGUGACAAAAAAGGUAAUGGUACUGGUUUAGCUUUACUUUUGUAAUCGCAGUGCACCAGUAUUGCUUCACCGUGAAAUCCUACAUGCUGAUUUUGGUUUUGUGGUUACAUUCACAUGCAAUAAGAUAUAUAGUCCACCCAGGAGCUAUUUUUUAAAAUAGUUCUCUCUCCUCUAAUGCGUUCUUAUGUGAUAAUGCAUUCGUAUGUGUCUCAGUGAGACAAAGAACAGUAAUUUUUCGUUCAAUCAAUAUUGUCUUUAACUCUUUAACUUUUAGUUCUGUUAAACCUUGUACAUUUGCUGCCGCAAGUCGUAAUGUUCUAUUUUUUUAUUGGUUUUAUUUCUUUGCUCGAACUUGACUGAAUUGUUUCGAUCCAGCAUUCUGGUAGUUUUAAGGGAUUUUUUGCAUUUGUCAACUUAACCUUGUGUGUCCCUGCUGCUUGGCCACUUCUUAAUUUAGAUUCUUGCCCAUAGAAUGUAUAUCCAGCGCUGAUUGUGUCACGGAGUUGCAAGCCUGUAACAUUUCGUGGUGAGCACCAAGGGAGGUCUUCUGCCCACCAAGGUGGCUCCGCGUAUAUCCAAUGAUUUCCGUACAGUUGAAUCAUCAUUUCAGAGAGAACAUGUUUUAAUUCCGCAUGGUUCAAAUCAUACACUACAAAAAAUAAGGUGACCAGUAUAAACACUUUCAUUGCCUUAUUUAUAGACUGCAUAACUAUGAGGACAAAAUUAUGCGACCUUGUAUUAUUAUGAUAGGAUGCUUACAUGAUUUUUCCAACUCCUUAAAAUUUGGAAUGCUUGCUUCAGUCAACUUUGUGCAUAGAAAUCAUAACAUCUUCCAAUUAGAAACCUUUGCACUUGAAACGUCGACCAUCCAGAAAUGUUUAGAUUUGGACAUCCCCAAGUGAUGAAAUCCGUUGGCCACCAUGGUUGAACUUGGUAAUCAGCGUAUCUAACUCUCUUUUUAGUUGAUUUCAAGGCAGCGAGCAUCACUUCUGCGAAUAAUACAUUCAAAUCGUUUCUUUGAUAGGCAUCCACUGCAAGAAAUAAGAAUGAAUCACUAUUUUAUGUUGGUCAGUGUAUCUCACCAGUGUAUUUCCCCCUCGGAGCCCCGGGGAGAAAAUUUUUACCUCGUUAUGACCCCCUUCAAAUACAUUUUAAAACACAUCUUGAAUUUGAAACUAAGCUCUAGGACGAAGGAAGUGGUUGUCAUAAGUUUAACAUGUAAAAAUAGGUAUAUAUAAAAUAUAUACCGUGAGCAAAUGAAGGGCUGUAAACACAUAAAUUUUAAUACUUAACAAAUAUAUAAAGCUAUAAUGAAUAUGAGAAGAUGUCUAAUAAUGUUAACAAAUAAUUAUAUGCAUGAAAAAUGAGCAUAAUCAUUAUUUCAUGCUAAUGAAAGUGAAGGUGAUGGUAGAAUUCACCCUAUUUUCAUGUUGCCUCCUCUGGAUAAUCCAGUACCCGCAACCUCGUCAAAUGGAUUUCCGGCAUUCGUUAUUCCGCAGAUAUUGUCCGGAAUCAUAACCCAUAUAAUCAAAGUUGAAAUCAGUAAUAAGUUCAUGGUCGUUGGGUGUGUAAGUAAAAGAUUGCCCGAUAUAUUUAUAACGUAUACCUUCAAUGAAGGUCCUUCAUCAUUUGGAUAUUCCGUUUUGAAAAUAUGAUUGACGAAAUCCUACUUAUUGCAUAUUGGUCGGGUAGCAUAAAUGUCGCUACAUAAAGGUCGGUUACAUAUUUGUUGUAUGUGACUCUACCAUAAUUUUACCAAAAUAUUGAUAAGUUGCACAAGCUACGGAAACUCGAAAAAUUACUGCAGCUGCAAUAUAUAAGGUAUGUAUGUGUCCACUUCUUAAUGUUUCACAUUUUCUGACCGUGAAAUAAUACUUAUUACGAACACAAGUUAUUUAAUUACUUAUAUAACACAACUUUAUUAUGUCUUUGUCAUUAGUAUGUGUCUCUCACUGUUCUAUAUGUACAUAUAACAAUACGACACUUAAUACUUUUACUCCAGUAAAGAUUUAACAAAUCUUAUAACAGUUUAUCACUAAAAAUCUCUAGAAGACCAACAAUUGAACUCCAGUUUGGGUAGUACUUGGAUUAAGUAUAGUAAUAUAUAUGUAGUAAUUGAUAAUAAUACAGGUAGGAUCUGAUUGUACCAGUAAAUGUCAGUAGAGGGAUAAUAAUCCAUGGUAUAGAUUAAGUCUAAUAAGUGACGCAUAGUUUCCAAUUGGUUCUCUAAGUUAAUCAAAUUAUGGGAUAAUUUGUCGUAUUUAAUUUAAUAUUUAUUUAUGAAUACGUACAUCGCAUCGUCACAAAUUAUGUAUCUAGUUACUGAAUCACUUGAUCAUCAAAUUAUCUAUAUUUUAAGGCCUUCUACGCUCGAUUCUUCGUGAAAGGAAUAUGUAAGUACUUGUGUAAAUAACUAGUAUCAAGGAAAUCCACUUGUAUGUAUUUAUAACUGCUUCUACUGCAUCAAACAGAGAAAGUUGCAUAAUUGAAUAUCAAUAAAUAAUGAAGCUAACUGACCAGCA
Folsomia candida is the source of this 4539-nucleotide long non-coding RNA. RefSeq lists it as uncharacterized. The transcript is spliced from 2 exons. The record is from RefSeq and is a predicted model, not a curated record. Lineage: Eukaryota; Metazoa; Arthropoda; Collembola; Entomobryomorpha; Isotomidae.